UUGCAACAACUCUUUGAGGGGUCCGUAGGUGGCCUGUUGCAAGGCAAAAUUUCUGUCCCUAUCCAAUAUACCCUCAUUUUCCAGUGGCAGUCCAAUUUUCCCCGACCAUCAUCCCAGAUGGCCUCUAUUAUUUCAAGACCUACCUAUAGUAUUUAUUGUGAACUUGUUUUCGUCCUGAAUAUGCAUGAAAUAUUUGCCACUGGACAUUAAGCAACCAAC
RNAcentral lists this long non-coding RNA (219 nucleotides) under Mytilus galloprovincialis (Mediterranean mussel). Lineage: Eukaryota; Metazoa; Mollusca; Bivalvia; Mytilida; Mytilidae. The record is from RNAcentral.